AGAACUUGGAACAUAAGAGCACGC
RNAcentral lists this small RNA (24 nucleotides) under Arabidopsis thaliana (thale cress). Its description in RNAcentral is "ATSL140730". Lineage: Eukaryota; Viridiplantae; Streptophyta; Magnoliopsida; Brassicales; Brassicaceae. The record is from RNAcentral.